CUUGAAAAACCAAAAAAAAUAAAAUAAAAUUGGAAUGAUACAGAGAUUAGCAUGGCCCCUGCACAAGGAUGACACCCAAAUUCGUGAAGUGUUCCAUAUUUUU
This 103-nucleotide small nuclear RNA is filed under the name Jaculus jaculus (lesser Egyptian jerboa). The record is from RNAcentral. Lineage: Eukaryota; Metazoa; Chordata; Mammalia; Rodentia; Dipodidae.